This 653-nucleotide ribosomal RNA is filed under the name Salmonella enterica. Its description in RNAcentral is "partial 23S ribosomal RNA". It matches the Rfam family "Bacterial large subunit ribosomal RNA", at positions 536 to 1190 of the family's 2925-position model. Lineage: Bacteria; Pseudomonadati; Pseudomonadota; Gammaproteobacteria; Enterobacterales; Enterobacteriaceae. The record is from RNAcentral.
GAGUGAAAAAGAACCUGAAACCGUGUACGUACAAGCAGUGGGAGCACCCUUCGGGGUGUGACUGCGUACCUUUUGUAUAAUGGGUCAGCGACUUAUAUUCUGUAGCAAGGUUAACCGUAUAGGGGAGCCGUAGGGAAACCGAGUCUUAACCGGGCGUUAAGUUGCAGGGUAUAGACCCGAAACCCGGUGAUCUAGCCAUGGGCAGGUUGAAGGUUGGGUAACACUAACUGGAGGACCGAACCGACUAAUGUUGAAAAAUUAGCGGAUGACCUGUGGCUGGGGGUGAAAGGCCAAUCAAACCGGGAGAUAGCUGGUUCUCCCCGAAAGCUAUUUAGGUAGCGCCUCGUGAAUUCAUCUCCGGGGGUAGAGCACUGUUUCGGCUAGGGGGCCAUCCCGGCUUACCAACCCGAUGCAAACUGCGAAUACCGGAGAAUGUUAUCACGGGAGACACACGGCGGGUGCUAACGUCCGUCGUGAAGAGGGAAACAACCCAGACCGCCAGCUAAGGUCCCAAAGUCAUGGUUAAGUGGGAAACGAUGUGGGAAGGCCCAGACAGCCAGGAUGUUGGCUUAGAAGCAGCCAUCAUUUAAAGAAAGCGUAAUAGCUCACUGGUCGAGUCGGCCUGCGCGGAAGAUGUAACGGGGCUAAACCAU